GACAGAGGGUGCAAACGUUGUUCGGAAUUACUGGGCGUAAAGCGCGUGUAGGCGGCCAUGCAAGUCGGAUGUGAAAUCCCACGGCUCAACCGUGGAAGUGCACCCGAAACUGCGUGGCUGGAGUCCUGGAGAGGAAGGCGGAAUACUCGGUGUAGAGGUGAAAUUCGUAGAUAUCGAGUGGAACACCGGUGGCGAAGGCGGCCUUCUGGACAGUGACUGACGCUGAGACGCGAAAGCGUGGGGAGCAAACAGG
This 253-nucleotide ribosomal RNA is filed under the name uncultured bacterium. Its description in RNAcentral is "partial 16S ribosomal RNA". It matches the Rfam family "Bacterial small subunit ribosomal RNA", at positions 524 to 776 of the family's 1533-position model. The record is from RNAcentral.